CAGCCGCCGCGGGAAUACGAAGGGUGCAAGCGUUACUCGGAAUUACUGGGCGUAAAGCAUGCGUAGGUGGUGGUUUAAGUCCGUUGUGAAAGCCCUGGGCUCAACCUGGGAAUUGCAGUGGAUACUGGGUCACUAGAGUGUGGUAGAGGAUAGUGGAAUUUCCGGUGUAGCAGUGAAAUGCGUAGAGAUCGGAAGGAACAUCUGUGGCGAAGGCGACUAUCUGGGCCAACACUGACACUGAGGCACGAAAGCGUGGGGAGCAAACAGGAUUAGAUACCCCGGUAGUCCCUGUCUCUUAUAC
RNAcentral lists this ribosomal RNA (301 nucleotides) under uncultured bacterium. RNAcentral's name for it is "partial 16S ribosomal RNA". It matches the Rfam family "Bacterial small subunit ribosomal RNA", at positions 509 to 807 of the family's 1533-position model. The record is from RNAcentral.